AAAUAUGAAGCAAUUUGCAUAUUAAUUUCGACCUAAUAAUAUGACAUAAAUAUAUCCUUAUUUA
RNAcentral lists this transfer RNA (64 nucleotides) under Allacta australiensis. RNAcentral's name for it is "tRNA-Arg". Lineage: Eukaryota; Metazoa; Arthropoda; Insecta; Blattodea; Pseudophyllodromiidae. The record is from RNAcentral.